AUGAAUGACAAACUACCUCCGAUCAUGUCCUGGAACGUGCGCGGGCUGAACCACCCUGCUAAGCGCGCCUCUGUCCGCGAAAUUGCAGUAGCAAAUCAAAUAGCGAUCCUGUGCCUACAAGAAACGAAGAUCGACGCUUGGUCUCCUAGCCUAGUACGAGAAAUUGGCGGCACCUCGCUGACUGGCUGCAUCGCCCUGCCGGCGAUUGGCACCAGCGGUGGAGCGGCAAUCCUCUGGGAC
Molecule: ribosomal RNA, 240 nt
Filed under: Triticum aestivum (bread wheat)
Lineage: Eukaryota; Viridiplantae; Streptophyta; Magnoliopsida; Poales; Poaceae
Description: partial small subunit ribosomal RNA
Source: RNAcentral